RNAcentral lists this ribosomal RNA (341 nucleotides) under uncultured Pseudomonadota bacterium. RNAcentral's name for it is "bacterial SSU rRNA". It matches the Rfam family "Bacterial small subunit ribosomal RNA", at positions 29 to 351 of the family's 1533-position model. The record is from RNAcentral. Lineage: Bacteria; Pseudomonadati; Pseudomonadota.
AACGAACGCUGGCGGCGUGCUUAACACAUGCAAGUCGUACGAGAAAUCUUGGGCAACUGAGAGAGUAAAGUGGCGCACGGGUGAGUAACGCGUGGGUAACCUACCCCUGAAUCCGGGAUAACUCUUCGAAAGGAGAGUUAAUACCAGAUAAUAUUCCAUCUCCCUCGGAAGCUGGAAUCAAAGGUGGCCUCUGCAUGCAAGCUACUGUUCAAGGAUGGGCCCGCGUACCAUUAGCUAGUUGGUAGGGUAAUGGCCUACCAAGGCGAUGAUGGUUAGCUGGUCUGAGAGGAUGACCAGCCACACUGGCACUGAAACACGGGCCAGACUCCUACGGGAGGCAG